This 487-nucleotide ribosomal RNA is filed under the name uncultured bacterium. Its description in RNAcentral is "bacterial SSU rRNA". It matches the Rfam family "Bacterial small subunit ribosomal RNA", at positions 28 to 507 of the family's 1533-position model. The record is from RNAcentral.
GACGAACGCUGGCGGCGUGGAUUAGGCAUGCAAGUCGAACGGUAUCAUCCUUUCGGGGGUGAGAGAGUGGCGAACUGGUGAGUAACACGUAGGUUAUCUACCCUCAAGACGGGGACAACCCAGGGAAACUUGGGCUAAUACCGGAUGUGAGCAACUUUUAGUUGUUUGAAAGGUGGCGUAAGCUGUCGCUUGGGGAUGAGCCUGCGUCCUAUUAGUUAGUUGGUGAGGUAACGGCUCACCUAGGCAAUGGUAGGUAGGCGGCCUUAACGGGUGGUCGCCCACACUGGGAUUGAGAUACGGCCCAGACUCCUACGGGAGGCAGCAGUCGAGAAUAGUCUACAAUGGUCGGAAGACUGAUAGUGCGACGCCGCGUGAACGAUGAAUCCCUUCGGGGUGUAAAGUUCUUUUAUAUGUGAGCAGUGCUUCUUAUAUUAACAGUAUGGGGAGAGAGAUAUUAGCAUAUGAAUAAGCAACGGCUAACUCCGUG